RNAcentral lists this ribosomal RNA (2455 nucleotides) under Listeria monocytogenes. Its description in RNAcentral is "partial 23S ribosomal RNA". It matches the Rfam family "Bacterial large subunit ribosomal RNA", at positions 474 to 2925 of the family's 2925-position model. Lineage: Bacteria; Bacillati; Bacillota; Bacilli; Caryophanales; Listeriaceae. The record is from RNAcentral.
UCCCUAGUGACCGAUAGUGAACCAGUACCGUGAGGGAAAGGUGAAAAGCACCCCGGAAGGGGAGUGAAACAGUUCCUGAAACCGUGUGCCUACAAGUAGUUAGAGCCCGUUAAUGGGUGAUAGCGUGCCUUUUGUAGAAUGAACCGGCGAGUUACGAUUUGUUGCAAGGUUAAGCGGAAAAAGCGGAGCCGUAGCGAAAGCGAGUCUGAAUAGGGCGCAUAAGUAACAGGUCGUAGACCCGAAACCAGGUGAUCUACCCAUGUCCAGGAUGAAGGUAAGGUAAUACUUACUGGAGGUCCGAACCCACGCACGUUGAAAAGUGCGGGGAUGAGGUGUGGGUAGCGGAGAAAUUCCAAUCGAACUUGGAGAUAGCUGGUUCUCUCCGAAAUAGCUUUAGGGCUAGCCUCGAGGUAAAGAGUCAUGGAGGUAGAGCACUGUUUGGACUAGGGGCCCUUCUCGGGUUACCGAAUUCAGAUAAACUCCGAAUGCCAUGUACUUAUACUCGGGAGUCAGACUGCGAGUGAUAAGAUCCGUAGUCGAAAGGGAAACAGCCCAGACCACCAGUUAAGGUCCCCAAAUAUAUGUUAAGUGGAAAAGGAUGUGGGGUUGCUUAGACAACCAGGAUGUUGGCUUAGAAGCAGCCACCAUUGAAAGAGUGCGUAAUAGCUCACUGGUCGAGUGACCCCGCGCCGAAAAUGUACCGGGGCUAAACAUAUUACCGAAACUGUGGAUGAACCUCUUUAGAGGUUCGUGGUAGGAGAGCGUUCUAAGGGCGGUGAAGUCAGACCGGAAGGACUGGUGGAGCGCUUAGAAGUGAGAAUGCCGGUAUGAGUAGCGAAAGAAGGGUGAGAAUCCCUUCCACCGAAUAUCUAAGGUUUCCUGAGGAAGGCUCGUCCGCUCAGGGUUAGUCGGGACCUAAGCCGAGGCCGAUAGGCGUAGGCGAUGGACAACAGGUAGAGAUUCCUGUACCAGUGCUAAUUGUUUAACCGAUGGGGUGACACAGAAGGAUAGGGAAUCGCACGAAUGGAAAUGUGCGUCCAAGCAGUGAGUGUGAGAAGUAGGCAAAUCCGCUUCUCGCGAAGCAUGAGCUGUGAUGGGGAAGGAAAUUAAGUACGGAAGUUCCUGAUUUCACGCUGUCAAGAAAAGCCUCUAGGAAGAGUAGUACUGCCCGUACCGCAAACCGACACAGGUAGAUGAGGAGAGAAUCCUAAGGUGAGCGAGAGAACUCUCGUUAAGGAACUCGGCAAAAUGACCCCGUAACUUCGGGAGAAGGGGUGCUCUAUUAGGGUGCAAGCCCGAGAGAGCCGCAGUGAAUAGGCCCAGGCGACUGUUUAGCAAAAACACAGGUCUCUGCAAAACCGUAAGGUGACGUAUAGGGGCUGACGCCUGCCCGGUGCUGGAAGGUUAAGAGGAGUGCUUAGCUUCGGCGAAGGUACGAAUUGAAGCCCCAGUAAACGGCGGCCGUAACUAUAACGGUCCUAAGGUAGCGAAAUUCCUUGUCGGGUAAGUUCCGACCCGCACGAAAGGCGCAACGAUCUGGGCACUGUCUCAACGAGAGACUCGGUGAAAUUAUAGUACCUGUGAAGAUGCAGGUUACCCGCGACAGGACGGAAAGACCCCGUGGAGCUUUACUGCAACCUGAUAUGGAAUGUUUGUACCGCUUGUACAGGAUAGGUAGGAGCCGAAGAGACGUGUGCGCUAGCAUACGAGGAGGCAAUGGUGGGAUACUACCCUGGCUGUAUGACCAUUCUAACCCGCCACGCUUAGCGCGUGGGGAGACAGUGUCAGGUGGGCAGUUUGACUGGGGCGGUCGCCUCCUAAAGAGUAACGGAGGCGCCCAAAGGUUCCCUCAGAAUGGAUGGAAAUCAUUCGCAGAGUGUAAAGGCACAAGGGAGCUUGACUGCGAGACUGACAAGUCGAGCAGGGACGAAAGUCGGGCUUAGUGAUCCGGUGGUUCCGCAUGGAAGGGCCAUCGCUCAACGGAUAAAAGCUACCCCGGGGAUAACAGGCUUAUCUCCCCCAAGAGUCCACAUCGACGGGGAGGUUUGGCACCUCGAUGUCGGCUCGUCGCAUCCUGGGGCUGUAGUCGGUCCCAAGGGUUGGGCUGUUCGCCCAUUAAAGCGGCACGCGAGCUGGGUUCAGAACGUCGUGAGACAGUUCGGUCCCUAUCCGUCGCGGGCGCAGGAAAUUUGAGAGGAGCUGUCCUUAGUACGAGAGGACCGGGAUGGACACACCGCUGGUGUACCAGUUGUUCCGCCAGGAGCAUCGCUGGGUAGCUAUGUGUGGCAGGGAUAAACGCUGAAAGCAUCUAAGCGUGAAGCCCCCCUCAAGAUGAGAUUUCCCAUUUCUUCGGAAAGUAAGAUCCCUGAAAGAUGAUCAGGUAGAUAGGUUUGGAGUGGAAGUGUAGCGAUACAUGGAGCGGACAAAUACUAAUCGAUCGAGGACUUAACCAAAA